This 182-nucleotide non-coding RNA is filed under the name Licmophora paradoxa. The record is from RNAcentral. Lineage: Eukaryota; Bacillariophyta; Fragilariophyceae; Licmophorales; Licmophoraceae.
UACACACACAUAUAUAUAUAUAUGUAUGCCAAGAGCCCCGAAUCGAUCGACACAUGAUAAUAAUAACAACAACAACGAAGAAGAGGAACAGGAGGAAAUGUUUGUGGAUCCCUACUUCACUUUUGAAUAUUCCACCGCUAGAGAAUGGGGAGGACCCACCAGGGGUGGAAGACUGCCAGAGC